GACGAACGCUGGCGGCGUGCUUAACACAUGCAAGUCGUACGGUAAGGCCCUUUCGGGGGUACACGAGUGGCGAACGGGUGAGUAACACGUGAGUAACCUGCCCACAACUUUGGGAUAACGCUAGGAAACUGGUGCUAAUACUGGAUAUGUGCUCCUGCUGCAUGGUGGGGGUUGGAAAGCUCCGGCGGUUGUGGAUGGACUCGCGGCCUAUCAGCUUGUUGGUGGGGUAGUGGCCUACCAAGGCGGCGACGGGUAGCCGGCCUGAGAGGGUGACCGGCCACAUUGGGACUGAGAUACGGCCCAGACUCCUACGGGAGGCAGCAGUGGGGAAUAUUGCCCAAUGGGCGCCAGCCUGAUGCAGCAACGCCGCGUGCGGGAUGACGGCCUUCGGGUUGUAAACCGCUUUCAGCAGGGACGAAGCUUUUUGUGACGGUACCUGCAGAAGAAGCACCGGCUAACUACGUG
RNAcentral lists this ribosomal RNA (465 nucleotides) under uncultured bacterium. RNAcentral describes it as "partial 16S ribosomal RNA". It matches the Rfam family "Bacterial small subunit ribosomal RNA", at positions 28 to 507 of the family's 1533-position model. The record is from RNAcentral.